UACGGGGGGGGCAAGCGUUGUUCGGAAUUACUGGGCGUAAAGGGCUCGUAGGUGGCCAACUAAGUCAGACGUGAAAUCCCUCGGCUUAACCGGGGAACUGCGUCUGAUACUGGAUGGCUUGAGUUCGGGAGAGGGAUGCGGAAUUCCAGGUGUAGCGGUGAAAUGCGUAGAUAUCUGGAGGAACACCGGUGGCGAAGGCGGCAUCCUGGACCGACACUGACACUGAGGAGCGAAAGCCAGGGGAGCGAAUGGG
This 253-nucleotide ribosomal RNA is filed under the name uncultured bacterium. RNAcentral's name for it is "partial 16S ribosomal RNA". It matches the Rfam family "Bacterial small subunit ribosomal RNA", at positions 524 to 776 of the family's 1533-position model. The record is from RNAcentral.